RNAcentral lists this long non-coding RNA (268 nucleotides) under Equus asinus (donkey). RNAcentral's name for it is "lncRNA (ENSEASG00005025855.1)". The record is from RNAcentral. Lineage: Eukaryota; Metazoa; Chordata; Mammalia; Perissodactyla; Equidae.
GUAACAACAGAGCUGGUCUGAAGGAUGAGGAGGAGUUGUUUCCAAUGGGUCCAAUUUGUCCCGAAGCCGCGGAGGAAGGGUCCUGUGAAUACCUCCAAGCUCCGCCCCCUCCGAGCCCCGCCUACAGGGCUGGGCUUCAUUGCACGUGCUCACUCGGCUCCUUCGCGACCUGCCUCCUUGGGAAGACUCAUUGUUGGGGCGGGGGGAUACGAGGAGUCUUAGCGAACACUGGCCAGGGAUAAGUCAAAAUAAAGAGAGGCUCCUGAAG